This 211-nucleotide long non-coding RNA is filed under the name Phaseolus vulgaris (common bean). RNAcentral describes it as "long non-coding RNA (PVUL_LNC003882)". The record is from RNAcentral. Lineage: Eukaryota; Viridiplantae; Streptophyta; Magnoliopsida; Fabales; Fabaceae.
GACAAUCAGUUGUUUGUCACUUAGCUAGCAAUGAGGUUUUGAAACUUUUUUUUGAAUUGGUUAUGUAACUACCUAACCCAUUCAACCGGUUAAAUGAGUGUUGUGCUAACAGUUUUUUGAAAACCUGUUUUAACUGUUUUAAACGAGAACAAAACUGAUUUGACUCUGUUAUGUUGCCUUAAACGACUAGAUUUCAAAUGCUAUAAAUAUA